Long non-coding RNA from Poeciliopsis prolifica (blackstripe livebearer), 463 nucleotides. RefSeq lists it as uncharacterized. The transcript is spliced from 4 exons. Lineage: Eukaryota; Metazoa; Chordata; Actinopteri; Cyprinodontiformes; Poeciliidae. The record is from RefSeq and is a predicted model, not a curated record.
AGCUCUGAUCCAGAUACGGUAUAUAAGAGAGUCCAAAAUUCAGCUCAACACAACAACCUUCUUAUCAAGUCAAGCAGAGAAGACUCUAAGCUGAAAUCACUGCAGCCAUGCUGAAGGUAGCACUUAUCCUUGGAUGCCUCCUGAGCCUCAUUGUGGCUGCACCAAUGGAGAACCAGCGAUUUGCUCGCUCUGGCUCUGGAUCUGGAUCGAACUCCAAUGAGGUCUCAACAACCAACUUUGCCACCCUGCUUUCCCUGCUUAUCCAGCUUCUUGCCACCACUACCACAACUACAACAACCCACAAUAGCACCUACAACAGUGGCUCCUCCUCCAUAAAAUGGAGUCUUGAACAUCAGCAACUUUGUCAUGUAUUGCUGAGAAAGUUAUCUUUUUCUUUUUCAGUUUUAAAUACCAAUGAUAAUGAUUUAUGUCUGGUAUCUGCUCAAUAAAGCUUAGCAAAAAA